GGAGAGGGAGGAAAAAAAAAAAAAGAAAAGGAGUCUGAAAGUAAUUUUCUUUAUGUUGGUUGUAUAUCUUAUUAAUAAAGGAGGAAGUUAAAUUUAAUUUUAUUGUUAUAUCCUUAUUAAAUAGUUUUUGUUUAUAUUUGUAAAUUAACAUUCCACUUUAUUCAGUCUUUCCAUUUCCAUUGAUUUCCUUCCAAAAUAAAAGGAAAUGGAAUAUUUUCCUUCUCUUCAAUCCUCUUUUUAAUACCCAAACAAAUGAAGGAAAUUUCAAUUUAGUACUGCCCCAUACCCAAUUAUCCUCACUUCCCUCAAAGCGAACAAAAACAUUAGAAAGAGAGAAAUGAAAGAUAACUGGAUAUACUAGUUGAUAAAUGAUCAUUGGCCAAAUCAUGAAUCUUGAGUUCUGGCAAUUUAUAUUUAAGCUUAUUGAACUUGUAUUAGUUAAGCAUAGUCUGAACUUUUUUUUGUUAACCAUCUAAUUGAUUUCAAGAGUUCUCCUAGAAUGAGUAUUUGUUACCAAAGUCACAAGAUGUUCAUGAUGGCUUUAAUGCCUACCAUUUAUUUUUGAAAUAUUCUCCUAUUGGCUUCUUGGAAAAUGAAAUUUGUGAACUGAUUGAAACAUGAGGUGGUGAUCUUUUAGAAACAAUUUAUGUUUACAAGAAAUUGUUUAAAGCAUGAAAAAAUUAUGUUUUUGAAGGAAUGGUGUGAAGCUCUGAUUUGAAAUAUGAUUGCUCUAUUGCUUAGGCUCAAUACAUCAUGAAUAGGUAUCAGUAAAAAGUAUGCAUCCAAUGCAGCAAAGGAAACUUGGUCCUGGCAGGUCCUGCCAAGAUCAUAAUGACAGUGAAAUGCAUUGUUCUUCAACUUAGAUGUCUUCUUUUCAUGACCAAAUUCGGGUUUAAGAGGGACAUCUUACUUCAAAUGAGAGAUUAGAUUGGCCUUAAAGAAGAAAAAUAGAUUGGUUUUACUUGACUUGAGAUGUGUGACCUUCAGUCUAUCUUUGGGCAUUUUUCUUGACUUGUUCAGCCCAGAUAGAUAUUGAAUUGACAAGAAGCAUCUUUUGUAGGCUAUCUAAUCUGUAUUUUCUAAUUUAGCAUGCUUUACCUGACUUACUAAGAGUAGAAGCAUUCCAUAACUGUUUCUGACACGGAAAUUGGAUCUGAGCAUCCUAACUUUUAAUUUUACUCAAUUGUUUGUGCACAUCAUAUUACUCACAGAGACUUGUAACAUGAUAUCAUUGUGUCCAUUUUGAAAUUCAUAUGCCUAUAUUUGUAUUUAUCAGG
RNAcentral lists this unclassified non-coding RNA (1277 nucleotides) under Hevea brasiliensis (rubber tree). Lineage: Eukaryota; Viridiplantae; Streptophyta; Magnoliopsida; Malpighiales; Euphorbiaceae. The record is from RNAcentral.